UCUCAUUUUUCGUUGUUUUCUUCUCUCUCCUCUCGCGAGACCUCUGCUCUUCUAGGGUUUGCCGACCGUCUUCCUCUUCACUCGGCUGCCUCUGCAACCAGCGUGACCCGUUUUACAGCGCGAGGAAGACGCUGUUACCGACGCGAGGGUGACGGCCUCUGCUACCACUGGGCACCGGUCGGCAAGCAGCAGGUGUUGCGAAACAGUCUCUGCAAGGGUUUGGGGUGUUUCUGGAGGUGCGACCGGCCAGCUCCAGCGCCUCUCAGCAAAGAGGGGCUAUCUGUUGUUGCAGCGUGGAAGAUGUCCGGCUAAGCACCAGACAUUCUCGAACCCUCUGCACUCGGUCUGGGUCGAUUCAAAAGAAAUUGCCGAGAGCAGUGGCGAACACGGUCGUCCUGCGACCCACUCUGUGGCAUAGGUCUACAAAACAUACGCUCUGCCAACAGUGACAGAGGUCAAGACGGAAGAUGUGUUGGAUCCGCCGGAAAGGGUUCGAGCAGGGUCUCCGGUUAAGCAAAAAGGAAAAAAAAACCGGCAGAGACGGUGUAGGCAUCACAGGCACUACAGGGGUCGGAAUUCACUUACUGGAAAUUCGACAAAGAAGGCUCUGAUACGAGUGAUGCAUUUUCAGCAGCGGAAUGGCGACCCUGUUCAACUCUGUAUCUGGGCAGCAACACACGGUCUGUAGCAGCAAGGGAGAGGCAGCUCGCAGAUCUUGAAUAACAGAAAAGAAGAAGAGACGAGGGAGAAGAAGAUAAAGCAGCAUUCAACGGGUUUGCUUCUAUGAGGGCUUGACGAGUUUUAAUCGUUUUUUUAACCCCAGAUUCAGCAGCACUGGGAUUUUUUUUACCAGCCUUAUAGAUUUUCCGAUUUCCCAGCUAACGGUUAUCGUCUGUGAGAGAUUGACGGAAUAUUAAAGUUACGAGGUGAAGGAUCGUUGCGAGCUCCAUCAACCAAAUAAUUGGUGGAAGAUCUAGAACGAUAACAUGCACCACAGGCAUAAAUCUAAACUGCAACUACAACAUUCCCAUGAUAGCACAGAAAUGACACCAUGUGUAACAGCAGUUGGAAACAGCCCAAAUUUUGUUUAUGUUGUUGUAGUGUGGAGCAUCAUCAAUCCCACCAUCUUCUAUACA
Nymphaea colorata (pocket water lily) is the source of this 1136-nucleotide long non-coding RNA. RefSeq lists it as uncharacterized. The record is from RefSeq and is a predicted model, not a curated record. NCBI's taxonomy places the organism in Eukaryota, Viridiplantae, Streptophyta, Magnoliopsida, Nymphaeales, Nymphaeaceae. The transcript has 3 exons.